Molecule: transfer RNA, 73 nt
Filed under: Exiguobacterium chiriqhucha
Lineage: Bacteria; Bacillati; Bacillota; Bacilli; Caryophanales
Also listed under: 1 other name
Description: tRNA-Pro
Rfam family: tRNA
About the family: Transfer RNA (tRNA) molecules are approximately 80 nucleotides in length. Their secondary structure includes four short double-helical elements and three loops (D, anti-codon, and T loops). Further hydrogen bonds mediate the characteristic L-shaped molecular structure. tRNAs have two regions of fundamental functional importance: the anti-codon, which is responsible for specific mRNA codon recognition, and the 3' end, to which the tRNAs corresponding amino acid is attached (by aminoacyl-tRNA synthetases). tRNAs cope with the degeneracy of the genetic code in two manners: having more than one tRNA (with a specific anti-codon) for a particular amino acid; and 'wobble' base-pairing, i.e. permitting non-standard base-pairing at the 3rd anti-codon position.
Source: RNAcentral
CGGGCUAUAGCGCAGUUGGUAGCGCGCUUCGUUCGGGACGAAGAGGUCGCGAGUUCGAGUCUCGCUAGCCCGA